ACGUAGGAAGCGAGCGUUAUCCGGAUUUACUGGGCGUAAAGCGUGUGUAGGCGGUUUGACAAGUUGGAUGUGAAAGCUCCUGGCUUAACUGGGAGAGGUCGUUCAAAACUGUCAGACUUGAGAGUGGUAGAGGGAGGUGGAAUUCCGGGUGUAGUGGUGAAAUGCGUAGAUAUCCGGAGGAACACCAGUGGCGAAAGCGGCCUCCUGGCCCAUUUCUGACGCUCAGACACGAAAGCUAAGGUAGCAAACGGGAUUAGAGACCCCGGUAGUCUUAGCUGUAAACGAUGUGAACUUAGUGUCGGCGGGUUUAAAUCCGUCGGUACUGAAGCAAACGCGAUAAGUUCACCGCCUGGGGACUACGGCCGCAAGGUUA
Molecule: ribosomal RNA, 373 nt
Filed under: uncultured bacterium
Lineage: Bacteria
Description: bacterial SSU rRNA
Rfam family: Bacterial small subunit ribosomal RNA
Source: RNAcentral